GACGAACGCUGGCGGCGUGCCUAAUACAUGCAAGUAGAACGCUGAAGAGAGGAGCUUGCUCUUCUUGGAUGAGUUGCGAACGGGUGAGUAACGCGUAGGUAACCUGCCUUGUAGCCGGGGAUAACUAUUGGAAACGAUAGCUAAUACCGCAUAACAAUGGAUGACACAUGUCCUUUAUUUGAAAGGGGCAAUUGCUCCACUACAAGAUGGACCUGCGUUGUAUUAGCUAGGAGGUGAGGUAAUGGCUCACCUAGGCGACGAUACAUAGCCGACCUGAGAGGGUGAGCGGCCAGAUUGGGACGGAGACACGGCCCAGACUCCUACGGAAGGGGGCAGUAGGGAAUCUUCGGCAAUGGGGGCAACCCUGACCGAGCAACGCCGCGUGAGUGAAGAAGGUUUUCGGAUCGUAAAGCUCGGUUGUAAGUCAAGAACGGGUGUGAGAGUGGAAAGUUCACACUGUGACGGUAGCUGACCAGAAAGGGACGGUUAACUACGUG
RNAcentral lists this ribosomal RNA (497 nucleotides) under uncultured bacterium. RNAcentral describes it as "partial 16S ribosomal RNA". It matches the Rfam family "Bacterial small subunit ribosomal RNA", at positions 28 to 507 of the family's 1533-position model. The record is from RNAcentral.